GGUCGAUUAGUUCAAUUGGUGAGAACGCGCGAUUAGAAAUUGCGCAUGUGGUUCAAAUCCACCAUCGACCG
Molecule: transfer RNA, 71 nt
Filed under: Bacteriophage sp.
Also listed under: 1 other name
Description: tRNA-Ser
Rfam family: tRNA
About the family: Transfer RNA (tRNA) molecules are approximately 80 nucleotides in length. Their secondary structure includes four short double-helical elements and three loops (D, anti-codon, and T loops).
Source: RNAcentral